Molecule: long non-coding RNA, 795 nt
Organism: Tigriopus californicus
Lineage: Eukaryota; Metazoa; Arthropoda; Copepoda; Harpacticoida; Harpacticidae
Exons: 2
Source: RefSeq, a predicted model, not a curated record
AAGAGUUCCCCAACGCAACGUGCCUUCUUCCCCCUUGCAAGUUAAUGGCUCCAUGGCGAUGGCCCCGCCGGGGCCACCAAACUGGAACGGGAGGGCCAGGCCGAUGGCUCGACGUGACCAUAUCGUGUGUGUUAGCCUGCUCAAUCUCCCCACGACGACUACGUGAAUGCAUUUCUUUUUGGCUGUCCCUUCUGCCAGAGGCCGAGAGAGGCAUCCUCUUCCAACAAGACCUGCCCACAACGGUGACACUGAGGCAAUGAGGCACUGCCAAGACGACCACUUCAUAGAGAAGGAGCACAAUUUUGUCAGCUGACGGAGGGACAAGAACGAGCACGAGCAGCUGAACAGCUGAAAAGCAGUAUUAGUCGGGAGUCUAGUCGAGGCUCUUCCUCCUACUUCGCCUCCUUAUUCCCCGCCGCUCAGCUAGUGGCUUCACUUUGUAAAAUAGCCGUCGUCUCCUCCUGAUGGACAGGGUUGCGGUGCCAGAUCAGGAGGAGAAAACGGUCGUGGACUGUCUCGCGUGAUACUAGACACUCAAGUAACCACCAACAACCAACCCCCCACCAACCCUUGGCCAGUGGAGUGGAUCUGCAGACCUCUGUAGAUCCUGUAUGAUCUUCCUGAUUGAAAUUGGGUCAAAGAUGGACAAUAACCCAUUGGAAACGGAAUCAUUGGUUGACCCCAGAUUUGGCCACCUCCAACAAAUCUUCGCGUUAUGUGAAUGCCGAGUCACAAUGCGGGAUUUCAGAUUUUCCCUUUCAGAUUUCAGAUUUGAAAUACGAGCCAAAUAUUAGA